This 1123-nucleotide ribosomal RNA is filed under the name Triticum aestivum (bread wheat). Its description in RNAcentral is "partial small subunit ribosomal RNA". Lineage: Eukaryota; Viridiplantae; Streptophyta; Magnoliopsida; Poales; Poaceae. The record is from RNAcentral.
CUCGUCGUUCAAGUCCAAAUGACCUACGCAGCGGCAGCACACAAAAUCUCCCCCGACUGCGGCGACGGCGGCGGCGGCCCAUAUCCCUCCCCUAAGCUGGGCGAGUAUGCAUGGUGGAGUUACCAUCUCUCCGAUGGCUCCUGGUCGUUGUAUCGCUGGAGGCGCUGUUUGAGGUAGAUCAGAUCGGAGUUCGUCUGAUCUGAAUCUCCAGCAGCAGUCAGUUGUUCGCAUCCUUUCUCUCUCUCUCAGGCUCCAGGUCAGCUCGUGUGCUCCUCCCACCUCGUCGGCGGCAAGCCGGUUGCCAGCUCCUUCCCGACCGGUUAUGCGACGUCGUGCGAACCUACAAAUCUUCAACAUGGUGAUUCAUUUUCCUGAGAUUAAUUCCCCAAUGCUUCUCAUUGAUGAUUCCAGUACACCGAAAAAGAAACAAUCGUUCUCUCAAGUGGUACACACACUUUUGAAUAUUAUGCAAUAUAAUUUCUUACCUUUUUCCAUGUUAAAGUCCAUGAUUCAGUCAUGUGUGAUAGGACAGUAUACAACCUUAUCAUGUGUCAUGUCUAUUGCCGGCCAUAGGUGCCGAACUAGUACGAGAUAAAGUAAACAACUGAGAGAUUUCCAUGUCCAUGGUUAAAACUAUAAGGUCCCUGUUGUUUUCUAUCGCUGGUCACAACCUGUAAUACUCGCUAGAUAGGCAUUACAUGUGGUGAAUACCGAAUAGUAAUUGAAUUUAGGUUGGUUGAAAGUAUAUGUUUUGGUUGUGAUAGAAAAUGAGAUCUCAUAAGUGCAUAACAUGUAUUUUUUACUAAAUAAUUUUUACUGCUAACCAUUCUGGCCCAGCACAGAGAAAAGAUUGGUUAUGGAGAGAGAGUUGCAGUGGCCGUGGUUGGGUGGGUGUGAUCGUUGGUAUGACGAAACAAAGAUCACCUGCAGUGCACCAUAGUAAGUAGCAAAUCGUACCCAUGGCUGGCGCAACGGCGUGGAGCAGGCUGCAGGGUCGGGGUGGUGCUGUGACGUGUGCAUCACAACAGAAGAAGCUUGAUGAGCAAAAAGUACUAGAACUGGAGGCAAAGGCUGGAGGCAAGCUAGCAAAGUUGAUGCAGUUUUUUAAUGGCAACGCUUCUUG